Molecule: ribosomal RNA, 636 nt
Filed under: uncultured Pseudomonadota bacterium
Lineage: Bacteria; Pseudomonadati; Pseudomonadota
Description: bacterial SSU rRNA
Rfam family: Bacterial small subunit ribosomal RNA
Source: RNAcentral
GAACGCUGGCGGCACGCUUAAUACAUGCAAGUCGUACGAGAAAGUCUCUUCGGAGGCGAGUAUAGUGGCGCACGGGUGAGUAACGCGUAGGUGACAUACCUUAAGAUGGGGGACAACAGAGAGAAAUUUCUGCUAAUACCGCAUAUAUAAUGAGAAUUUGGAAGUAUCAUUAUAAAGAUGGCCUCUCCUUGGAAGCUAUUGUCUUAAGAAUGGCCUGCGUACCAUUAGCUUGUUGGUGGGGUAAUGGCCUACCAAGGCAUUGAUGGUUAACCGGUCUGAGAGGAUGAUCGGUCACACUGGAACUGAGACACGGUCCAGACUCCUACGGGAGGCAGCAGUAGGGAAUAUUGCGCAAUGGGGGAAACCCUGACGCAGCGAUGCCGCGUGAGUGAGGAAGGCCUUCGGGUUGUAAAGCUCUGUCCUUGGGGAAAAAAUGCUUCAACGGUAAUAUCGUUGAGGAGUUGAUGGUACCCAAGAAGAAAGCACCGGCUAACUUCGUGCCAGCAGCCGCGGUAAUACGAAGGGUGCAAGCGUUGUUCGGAUUUAUUGGGCGUAAAGGGUGAGUAGGCGGAUAAUUAAGUCAGGUGUGAAAUCUCGGGGCUCAACCCCGAAACUGCGCCUGAAACUGAAUAUCUA